RNAcentral lists this ribosomal RNA (386 nucleotides) under uncultured bacterium. RNAcentral's name for it is "bacterial SSU rRNA". It matches the Rfam family "Bacterial small subunit ribosomal RNA", at positions 28 to 412 of the family's 1533-position model. The record is from RNAcentral.
GACGAACGCUGGCGGCGUGCUUAAUACAUGCAAGUCGACUUGCUUUUGAUUAGCAAUAGUCAAAAGAGAGUGGCGCACGGGUGAGUAACACGUAGAUAAUCUACCCUCAGGACUGACAUAAUGUAGAGAAAUCUGCACUAAUAUCAGAUGAAACAAAAUCCUGGCAUCAGAGAUUUUGUCAAAGUUUUAACGCCUGAAGAUGAGUCUGCGGUCCAUUAGGUAGUUGGCGGUUUAACAGACCACCAAGCCGACGAUGGAUAGCUGGUCUGAGAGGAUGAUCAGCCACACUGGAACUGAGACACGGUCCAGACUCCUACGGGAGCAGCAGUAAGGAAUAUUGCUCAAUGGGAGAAAUCCUGAAGCAGCAACGCCGCGUGGAGGAUGAA